GGUGAGGAAUACAUAGGAAUCUGCCCAGUCGUGGGGGAUAACGUAGGGAAACUUACGCUAAUACCGCAUACGACGGAGACGUGAAAGCAGGGGAUCUUCGGACCUUGCGCGAUUGGAUGAGCCUAUGUCGGAUUAGCUAGUUGGCGGGGUAAAGGCCCACCAAGGCGACGAUCCGUAGCUGGUCUGAGAGGAUGAUCAGCCACACUGGAACUGAGACACGGUCCAGACUCCUACGGGAGGCAGCAGUGGGGAAUAUUGGACAAUGGGCGCAAGCCUGAUCCAGCCAUACCGCGUGGGUGAAGAAGGCCUUCGGGUUGUAAAGCCCUUUUGUACGGAAAGAAAGCUUCCAGGUUAAUACCCUGGGAGGAUGACGGUACCGUAAGAAUAAGCACCGGCUAACUUCGUGCCAGCAGCCGCGGUAAUACGAAGGGUGCAAGCGUUAAUCGGAAUUACUGGGCGUAAAGCGUGCGUAGGUGGUUGUUUAAGUCUGUCGUGAAAGCCCUGGGCUCAACCUGGGAAUGGCGAUGGAUACUGGGCGACUAGAGUGUGGUAGAGGAUGGCGGAAUUCCCGGUGUAGCGGUGAAAUGCGUAGAGAUCGGGAGGAACAUCUGUGGCGAAGGCGGCCAUCUGGACCAACACUGACACUGAGGCACGAAAGCGUGGGGAGCAAACAGGAUUAGAUAUCCCUGGUAGUCCACGCCCUAAACGAUGCGAACUGGAUGUUGGUCUCAACUUGGAGAUCAGUGUCGAAGCUAACGCGUUAAGUUCGCCGCCUGGGGAGUACGGUCGCAAGACUGAAACUCAAAGGAAUUGACGGGGGCCCGCACAAGCGGUGGAGUAUGUGGUUUAAUUCGAUGCAACGCGAAGAACCUUACCUGGCCUUGACAUGUCGCGAAUCCUG
RNAcentral lists this ribosomal RNA (901 nucleotides) under uncultured Stenotrophomonas sp. RNAcentral's name for it is "bacterial SSU rRNA". It matches the Rfam family "Bacterial small subunit ribosomal RNA", at positions 105 to 1000 of the family's 1533-position model. Lineage: Bacteria; Pseudomonadati; Pseudomonadota; Gammaproteobacteria; Lysobacterales; Lysobacteraceae. The record is from RNAcentral.